AGACGGGCUGGUGUCGGAGCUCUGUCGGUCAAGACGGGCGGGCUCCCACGGCGAGCACGUGCAUUGCACACCGCUCGUGUUGACCCUUGCCACUUCUCCAAACUGGGGUAGAUGGGGCAUGCAAUUUUUGGCAGUGGGGGGACUGCGUGCGCGCAUUCCCCCC
This 163-nucleotide small nuclear RNA is filed under the name Haemaphysalis longicornis (longhorned tick). RNAcentral describes it as "U1 spliceosomal RNA". It matches the Rfam family "U1 spliceosomal RNA". Rfam says of the family: U1 is a small nuclear RNA (snRNA) component of the spliceosome (involved in pre-mRNA splicing). Its 5' end forms complementary base pairs with the 5' splice junction, thus defining the 5' donor site of an intron. The record is from Rfam by way of RNAcentral. Lineage: Eukaryota; Metazoa; Arthropoda; Arachnida; Ixodida; Ixodidae.